Molecule: unclassified non-coding RNA, 1223 nt
Filed under: Hevea brasiliensis (rubber tree)
Lineage: Eukaryota; Viridiplantae; Streptophyta; Magnoliopsida; Malpighiales; Euphorbiaceae
Source: RNAcentral
AAUAUAUUAUUUUAUAAAGAUUAACAAAAUGUUGAAUCGUGUCAAAAUGUGUCAAAUGAGUUACGUUGGAUUGUGUCAAAUCAUGUUAAAUAAGUCGACCAUGUCUUUCAAAUUGUCUUAUAUGAGUCGUGUUCUGUCGAAUUAACCUUACAUGAUUUAAUAUUAAACAUGUUGGAUUGUGUGACCCGUAUAAUAAAAGGAUUAUUUUCGUGUUUAGAUUUUCGAAAUUGUGUCAUGUUCGUGUCUACCUUAAUCGUGUUUGUAUUCGUGUCAUAUCAACACAAACAUGACCCACCAACAGCCACCAACCCAAAUUUGCACCCCUAGUCCAUGCAUAGUGUGGGAUCUAGUGAGUUAGUCUAUAAAUUUUGUGUUGCCUUUUUAUUACAUUUUUGGUUCUGUAAAAUAGAAGUUUGAAUUGUUCUAGUAAGCAUUAGAAAUUCAUGUACCUCAUAAAGGUGAAUGGUGGUGUGCAAUUGGUUAGUUCAGUUCUGAGCUAAACCGGACUAACUGAAGAAUCGAUUUACAUGUUAUUAGAGAUCAAACUGAACCAAAGUAAAAGAAAUCAAAUCAAAUGGAACUGAAAAUUUUUGGUUUGCUUCAUUGGUUUACCGAAGCCAAAUGAAAGUGUCCAAAAUCCAAAUUAACAUGCCCAAGGCCAAAACUCAAAUCCCAUCAUCAGGCAUCAACAACAUGCAAUAAAGUAUACAGAAACGUAAAAACAACACUGUUGACCUCAAAAUCUCAAUACCAACCAGAUCAAGAAAAAGAAACAACUAGAAAAAGAAUUUAUUUACAGAUAAAAAAAAAAAGAACCAGCCUUUUUACAAAUGCUUAUAUGUUAUCCAAACUCUAAAAAUUUCACAAUCAAGCAAACCCUAAGUCAAAUAAACUUAAUGCCUGUUCAAGCCGAUGCAUCUGAGCAUGAGAGCAUGAGAGCCGAUGCAUGCAUCUGAGCAUGCCUGUUCAAGCCGAUGCAUCGGCAUCUGGGUCUUCAUAUGGUGAGACACAAUUGUUGUUCUACCUUGUUGCUGGAAGUUUCAACAGAAUCAAAGAUGAGAGCCCGAAGCGUAAAGGACAUGCAGCAGCUAGGGAGGGUUUGCAGGAACAGAACCACAGAUUCCUACCACAGAUCGGCAGAGUCAUUCACGCAAACAGCUGUUAAAGAGCCACAGAUUGGCGAUGGUCAUUUCUACCAGAAAUGAAGAAGAAGAAGAAGAAGA